RNAcentral lists this ribosomal RNA (481 nucleotides) under uncultured bacterium. Its description in RNAcentral is "bacterial SSU rRNA". It matches the Rfam family "Bacterial small subunit ribosomal RNA", at positions 30 to 507 of the family's 1533-position model. The record is from RNAcentral.
AUUGAACGCUGGCGGCAUGCCUUACACAUGCAAGUCGAACGGUAACAGGUCUUCGGAUGCUGACGAGUGGCGAACGGGUGAGUAAUACAUCGGAACGUGCCCGAUCUGGGGGAUAACGCAGCGAAAGCUGUGCUAAUACCGCAUACGAUCUACGGAUGAAAGCGGGGGAUCGCAAGACCUCGCGCGGACGGAGCGGCCGAUGGCAGAUUAGGUAGUUGGUGGGAUAAAAGCUUACCAAGCCGACGAUCUGUAGCUGGUCUGAGAGGACGACCAGCCACACUGGGACUGAGACACGGCCCAGACUCCUACGGGAGGCAGCAGUGGGGAAUUUUGGACAAUGGGGGAAACCCUGAUCCAGCCAUGCCGCGUGCAGGAUGAAGGCCUUCGGGUUGUAAACUGCUUUUGUACGGAACGAAAAGGUCCUUUCUAAUAAAGAGGGCUCAUGACGGUACCGUAAGAAUAAGCACCGGCUAACUACGUG